Molecule: ribosomal RNA, 253 nt
Filed under: uncultured bacterium
Lineage: Bacteria
Description: partial 16S ribosomal RNA
Rfam family: Bacterial small subunit ribosomal RNA
Source: RNAcentral
AACGCGGGGGGCCAGCGUUGCUCGGAAUUACUGGGCGUAAAGGGUUCGUAGGCGGUGCAGCAAGUAGGGAGUGAAAUCCCGGGGCUUAACUCCGGGACUGCUUCCGAAACUGCUGUGCUAGAGUGCGGGAGAGGCGAGUGGAAGUGCGAGUGUAGCGGUGAAAUGCGUAGAGAUUCGCAGGAACACCAGAGGCGAAGGCGGCUCGCUGGACCGCAACUGACGCUGAGGAACGAAAGCUAGGGGAGCAAACAGG